This is a non-coding RNA of Puma concolor (puma), 399 nucleotides long. The record is from RefSeq and is a predicted model, not a curated record. NCBI's taxonomy places the organism in Eukaryota, Metazoa, Chordata, Mammalia, Carnivora, Felidae.
GAGAGUGUAAGAGAAGGGGCCACUUCCAGAUUGACUGCUGGUUCUCAGGCAGCAUUAGGAGAAGCUGAGAUUAACUGAGAAUUGAGUGUUGUUUGUGGCUGAGCAGUGGGCUAUCCACGAUGAUAAAGGUAAAUAGCAAGCUGGCCUUAUCCGUCUGUCCUCCCAGCAUGGUUAAAGGCUGGCUGGCUGCACAAGACCCACAACCUAAAUGGCUACAUCCUUAAUUUCCUCCAAAGAAGACAGAGGACCCUUCCUUACCAGAACCAAUUAGAAAAUUCUAGGGAAACACUGGUUCAUUUACCCACCCCUGCCCCAAGAGAUGCUUAUGAUUGACCUAGGAAGGAGAAAAUCCCUCCUCAAAAGAAGGGGGUGCUAAUCUAGGCUGAUAAUAAAGGUCUC